GCCCCAGACUCCUACGGGAGGCAGCAGUGAGGAAUAUUGGUCAAUGGGCGGGAGCCUGAACCAGCCAAGUCGCGUGAGGGAAGACGGUCCUAUGGAUUGUAAACCUCUUUAGGCGGGGAGCAAUGCCGGGCACGCGUGCCCGGAGGGAGAGUACCCGCAGAAUAAGCAUCGGCUAAUUCCGUGCCAGCAGCCGCGGUAAUACGGAAGGGCCGGGCGUUAUCCGGAUUUAUUGGGUUUAAAGGGAGCGUAGGCCGGCUUUUAAGUCAGCUGUGAAAGUCCGCGGCUCAACCGUGGAAUUGCAGUUGAAACUGGAGGCCUUGAGUGCACACAGGGAUGCCGGAAUUCAUGGUGUAGCGGUGAAAUGCUUAGAUAUCAUGAAGAACUCCGAUCGCGAAGGCAAGUGUCCGGGGUGCAACUGACGCUGAGGCUCGAAAGUGCGGGUAUCAAACAGGAUUAGAUACCCUAGUA
Molecule: ribosomal RNA, 468 nt
Filed under: uncultured bacterium
Lineage: Bacteria
Description: bacterial SSU rRNA
Rfam family: Bacterial small subunit ribosomal RNA
Source: RNAcentral